ACGCAGAUUCUAAGUGCCCACAGCAGAAAGGAUCCAUUUUGAACUCGAAAAACAACCUCUUCUGUUGUUGUUGUGGGUGUAUCCAUACAUAUUAGAACAAUGUGGCAUAAAGUUAACCGAUGUGCCUAAACACUUAACUCUAGGCAAUACAGAAAAUAGCUGAGGAAAUCCAUAAACACGGUUGCGAUGCAACUAAAUGCCCCAUUGUUGUGCGCUCAGAUAGAAACUACCAAGGACUUAAUGGUCAAGGGGAAACCCACAAGGGGAAAUGACAAGCAUUAUGGUACAAGAUGCAACAGACAUGAUACCCAUAACCCCCGGUUAAAGUUGCCAGCUGUGCUGAGUUCAAAGGCAGGAUCAGUUCCAAUUUGUAUGAAAAGAGUCUGGUAUGUCACAUCAGUCACUGCAGAGAUGUGGAGGUAAAGAACUGUUAUUUUUUUGUGUUAAUUCAUACUAAACAGUCUCUAUAUGUUAAACAAGUUAUUUCAAUAAA
Molecule: long non-coding RNA, 493 nt
Organism: Lingula anatina
Lineage: Eukaryota; Metazoa; Brachiopoda; Lingulata; Lingulida; Lingulidae
Source: RefSeq, a predicted model, not a curated record